UCUUGGUCAUUUAGAGGAAGUAAAAGUCGUAACAAGGUCUCCGUAGGUGAACCUGCGGAGGGAUCAUUACACAACAAAAAUAUGAGGGUGUGGUUUGCUGGCAACAGCGUCCGCCCCAAGUAUUUUUCACCCAUGUCUUUUGCGCACUUUUUGUUUCCUGGGCGAGUUCGCUCGCCACCAGGACCCAACCUAAACUUUUUUUAUGCAGUUGCAAUCAGCGUCAGUAUAAUAAUUCAAUUUAUUAAAACUUUCAACAACGGAUCUCUUGGUUCUGGCAUCGAUGAAGAACGCAGCGAAAUGCGAUACGUAGUGUGAAUUGCAGAAUUCAGUGAAUCAUCGAAUCUUUGAACGCACAUUGCGCCCUUUGGUAUUCCAAAGGGCAUGCCUGUUCGAGCGUCAUUUGUACCCUCAAGCUUUGCUUGGUGUUGGGCGUCUUUUUGUCUCUCCCCUUGUUGGGGGAGACUCGCCUUAAAACGAUUGGCAGCCGACCUACUGGUUUUCGGAGCGCAGCACAAAUUUGCGCCUUCCAAUCCACGGGGCGGCAUCCAGCAAGCCUUUGUUUUCUAUAACAAAUCCACAUUUUGACCUCGGAUCAGGUAGGGAUACCCGCUGAACUUAAGCAUAUCAAUAAGCGGAGGA
RNAcentral lists this ribosomal RNA (639 nucleotides) under Exserohilum sp. P27E2. RNAcentral describes it as "eukaryotic LSU rRNA". The stretch from base 246 to 399 matches the Rfam family "5.8S ribosomal RNA". The record is from RNAcentral. Lineage: Eukaryota; Fungi; Ascomycota; Dothideomycetes; Pleosporales; Pleosporaceae.